GCAGUAAUUAUGCAGUUUGCCACGCGGGAUUCAUUUCUGGGUAGCAGUUGUACUACAGCACAUAAACCGGAGCACCCACAGAAUGCUUUCAAGUCAUGCCAAGAAGCCCCGAAUGCAAAACAAGUAAACGAAAAAUGCACCAGCAUUGCAAAAUCUACUAGAGAAACAGCAAUGUUGUGAUCGAUGCAGAGCUGCGGGCUGCCUUACCGUGUUUCCCAUGGAUAAGCAUUACUCACCUUUAAGGAAGGGAGAAUGAUGGCAGUUAUCUUAAAGCAGUGGAAGCGUAACAUGUCCAUGUUACUGAAGGCGAUGCGAAGCCCGUCUCGCAAUGUGAGUUUCUAUAUGGCAUUGACAGUGAGGAACAGCCUUAGCAGACAUUGCGUGUUCCUUUGUUGAGCAAGGUAGACAGUUGUGUGGGUUUUUAUAUCUGGCAAUUUACUGGCCACCCUCUUACAGUGAGGCUUGGCAGAUCUCUGUGACCAUUCAAGGGAUUGGAGUUUAACAUUGGAGAGUCGAAGCAGCAGAAGGCGUGAACUGUUCAUGCUACGCUUGAGGUGAGGAAAAAAUUCAGUUUGUUCUUCUCUGGAGGUUCGCCGAAUAUGUUUUCUUCUCCUUGGAAGCUUCUUAAAUGAAGGGCAUGUCAAUGAUGACAGUACUAGUUUUUCACGUAGUAGUGAGAUUUAAUCUCUCCCGCAUUCAACUUUUUUAAGAGAGGUGUUGAUUUCUUCACACUCAAAUUACGUAAGUACAUAAUGUGGAUACCAUGACGUAUUUAUUUAGCGUCAAGGAUCUAGAUCUACUGGCGGCAGGUGUUGUGAACAAUGCAAGAGGCUCCUUUUCAUCAGUUAGGGAGCUCCUGUGUAACUACUCCCUCUCGAGUAGGGUCGAAACAAUUUUCCACCUCAAUACCCAAUGAAUGUAGACAUCAAUUGAGAUUUCAAUUUAGUCAUGUGCGAUGAUUGUCAUGCUGUCGGGAACUUAUUUCAAUGGCAGUGGAGAUUUAUUAACAUGAUGCAUUUGCAUGUUUUCCAGUUGAUUCAGCUGUGAGUUGCAACGAAGCCCUGGAGGUUGAUGAUGGGAAGAUUUCCACAAACCUUGUAACCUGAGAGAACAAUAAAUGAAAGAACAAAACAGAAAGGGGCUUACUUACUUUCAGCAAGACUGAGCUAGCACAGGCUUAAGUACAUGUGUAUAGAGAUCUGAGCAUUCGGCACAAAUGUCGGAUCUCAGGUCAUCCAUAGAAUAUUCAUCGUUAGAUGAUGAAGUAGGGAUUGAUAUUCUAACACCCCCUUCACUACGAAAUCAUCAAUUUUGGUACUUACUAAGAAACUAUGUGUACUCUGUGACUCUAGCUUGUGAAGGAAUUUAUUUUGAUUGUUUUUAGAUGUUCAAGGUUCAUUUCAUCAUUGAGGGUAGAGUCUCAUACUUGGAAAAAAAUAGUUACUUGAUUUUAAGGAAGGUGUAGUAUGUGAGAGAGGAUAAAGUGAUAAUUUAUUUUCUAUUGAGUUGGAUGUGCUAAUUGAUGCCUGUAACUAUGAGCUAUGGAGAGAGAAAAUGAAAAAAGAGCUAUGGAGAGAGAAAAUGAAAAAAGAGUAGUUUUGUCAGGAUUGUGCUCCUCCUAAAGGAAUG
RNAcentral lists this long non-coding RNA (1629 nucleotides) under Physcomitrium patens. Its description in RNAcentral is "long non-coding RNA (PPAT_LNC012713)". The record is from RNAcentral. Lineage: Eukaryota; Viridiplantae; Streptophyta; Bryopsida; Funariales; Funariaceae.